Molecule: ribosomal RNA, 354 nt
Filed under: uncultured bacterium
Lineage: Bacteria
Description: bacterial SSU rRNA
Rfam family: Bacterial small subunit ribosomal RNA
Source: RNAcentral
AGAGUUUGAUCCUGGCUCAGGAUGAACGCUAGCUACAGGCUUAACACAUGCAAGUCGAGGGGAAACGAUAUUGGAAGCUUGCUUCCGAUAGGCGUCGGCCGGCGCACGGGUGAGUAACGCGUAUCCAACCUGCCCACCACUUGGGGAUAACCUUGCGAAAGUAAGACUAAUACCCAAUGACGUCUCUAGAAGACAUCUGAAAGAGAUUAAAGAUUUAUCGGUGAUGGAUGGGGAUGCGUCUGAUUAGCUUGUUGGCGGGGUAACGGCCACCAAGGCUACGAUCAGUAGGGGUUCUGGAGAGGAAGGUCCCCCACGAUUGGAACUGAGACACGGUCCAAACUCCUACGGGAGGCA